CGUGAGUAACCUGCCCCUGACUCUGGGAUAAGCCUUGGAAACGAGGUCUAAUACCGGAUAUGUGACGUUCAGGCAUCUGAUGCGUCUGGAAAGAUUUAUCGGUCAGGGAUGGACUCGCGGCCUAUCAGCUUGUUGGUGGGGUAACGGCCUACCAAGGCGACGACGGGUAGCCGGCCUGAGAGGGCGACCGGCCACACUGGGACUGAGACACGGCCCAGACUCCUACGGGAGGCAGCAGUGGGGAAUAUUGCACAAUGGGCGCAAGCCUGAUGCAGCGACGCCGCGUGAGGGAUGAAGGCCUUCGGGUUGUAAACCUCUUUCAGCAGGGAAGAAGCGCAAGUGACGGUACCUGCAGAAGAAGCGCCGGCUAACUACGUGCCAGCAGCCGCGGUAAUACGUAGGGCGCAAGCGUUGUCCGGAAUUAUUGGGCGUAAAGAGCUCGUAGGCGGUUUGUCGCGUCUGCUGUGAAAACUCGAGGCUCAACCUCGGGCUUGCAGUGGGUACGGGCAGACUAGAGUGCGGUAGGGGAGACUGGAAUUCCUGGUGUAGCGGUGGAAUGCGCAGAUAUCAGGAGGAACACCGAUGGCGAAAGGCAGGUCUCUGGGCCGCAACUGACGCUGAGGAGCGAAAGCAUGGGGAGCGAACAGGAUUAGAUACCC
This 659-nucleotide ribosomal RNA is filed under the name Cellulomonas hominis. RNAcentral describes it as "bacterial SSU rRNA". It matches the Rfam family "Bacterial small subunit ribosomal RNA", at positions 116 to 787 of the family's 1533-position model. Lineage: Bacteria; Bacillati; Actinomycetota; Actinomycetes; Micrococcales; Cellulomonadaceae. The record is from RNAcentral.